CCUACGGGAGGCAGCAGUGAGGAAUAUUGGUCAAUGGACGAGAGUCUGAACCAGCCAAGUAGCGUGAAGGAUGACUGCCCUAUGGGUUGUAAACUUCUUUUAUAAAGGAAUAAAACGAGGCACGUGUGCCUUUUUGCAUGUACUUUAUGAAUAAGGAUCGGCUAACUCCGUGCCAGCAGCCGCGGUAAUACGGAGGAUGCGAGCGUUAUCCGGAUUUAGUGGGUUUAAAGGGAGCGUAGAUGGGUUGUUAAGUCAGUUGUGAAAGUUUGCGGCUCAACCGUAAAAUUGCAAUUGAUACUGGCAGUCUUGAGUACAGUUGAGGUAGGCGGAAUUCGUGGUGUAGCGGUGAAAUGCUGAGAUAUCACGAAGAACCCCGAUUGCGAAGGCAGCUUACUAAACUGUGACUGACAUUGAUGCUCGAAAGUGUGGGUAUCAAACAGGAUUAGAGACCCUGGUAGUC
This 460-nucleotide ribosomal RNA is filed under the name uncultured bacterium. Its description in RNAcentral is "partial 16S ribosomal RNA". It matches the Rfam family "Bacterial small subunit ribosomal RNA", at positions 338 to 795 of the family's 1533-position model. The record is from RNAcentral.